RNAcentral lists this ribosomal RNA (498 nucleotides) under uncultured bacterium. Its description in RNAcentral is "partial 16S ribosomal RNA". It matches the Rfam family "Bacterial small subunit ribosomal RNA", at positions 30 to 523 of the family's 1533-position model. The record is from RNAcentral.
AUUGAACGCUGGCGGCAUGCCUUACACAUGCAAGUCGAACGGUAACAGGUCUUCGGAUGCUGACGAGUGGCGAACGGGUGAGUAAUACAUCGGAACGUGCCCGAUCGUGGGGGAUAACUACUCGAAAGAGUAGCUAAUACCGCAUACGAUCUACGGAUGAAAGCGGGGGAUCUUCGGACCUCGUGCGGACGGAGAGACCGAUGGCAGAUUAGGUAGUUGGUGGGAUAAAAGCUUACCAAGCCGACGAUCUGUAGCUGGUCUGAGAGGACGACCAGCCACACUGGGACUGAGACACGGCCCAGACUCCUACGGGAGGCAGCAGUGGGGAAUUUUGGACAAUGGGCGAAAGCCUGAUCCAGCAAUGCCGCGUGCAGGAUGAAGGCCUUCGGGUUGUAAACUGCUUUUGUACGGAACGAAAAGACUCCUUCUAAUACAGGGGGUCCAUGACGGUACCGUAAGAAUAAGCACCGGCUAACUACGUGCCAGCAGCCGCAGUAA